This 362-nucleotide ribosomal RNA is filed under the name uncultured soil bacterium. RNAcentral describes it as "bacterial SSU rRNA". It matches the Rfam family "Bacterial small subunit ribosomal RNA", at positions 26 to 389 of the family's 1533-position model. The record is from RNAcentral.
AGAUUGAACGCUGGCGGCAGGCCUAACACAUGCAAGUCGAGCGGUAGAGAGGUGCUUGCAUCUCUUGAGAGCGGCGGACGGGUGAGUAAUGCCUAGGAAUCUGCCUAGUGGUGGGGGAUAACGUUCGGAAACGGACGCUAAUACCGCAUACGUCCUACGGGAGAAAGCGGGGGACCUUCGGGCCUCGCGCCAUUAGAUGAGCCUAGGUCGGAUUAGCUAGUUGGUGAGGUAAUGGCUCACCAAGGCGACGAUCCGUAACUGGUCUGAGAGGAUGAUCAGUCACACUGGAACUGAGACACGGUCCAGACUCCUACGGGAGCAGCAGUGGGGAAUAUUGGACAAUGGGACGAAAGCCUAGAUUU